Molecule: unclassified non-coding RNA, 291 nt
Filed under: Hevea brasiliensis (rubber tree)
Lineage: Eukaryota; Viridiplantae; Streptophyta; Magnoliopsida; Malpighiales; Euphorbiaceae
Source: RNAcentral
GUUUCGGGCUCUCAAAAGAGUGAUGUGAAUGUGUAGCGUCUUCACUGGAUAUGCUUCGCUGGUGCAAUGAGCUGAUAGAAGACGCGGGGCUGCGUGACAUCCGUGAGAUCGAGCUGCUGAGAGGCAUCCGUCCUUCGGCUCUUUCUUUGAGCAACAAAAUAUCCUCGCAUAUAACAGCAACCUCUCCUUGGAAUACAUCAACGACGUGGCCACGGUCAACCAAGAACUCCCUCAGCUUAGAAUUCUCCUCUGCGUCAUGUUGAAGUCGUUCCGAAUCUUGCACUAUGUGGC